Non-coding RNA from Paramuricea clavata, 341 nucleotides. NCBI's taxonomy places the organism in Eukaryota, Metazoa, Cnidaria, Anthozoa, Malacalcyonacea, Plexauridae. The record is from the annotation of a GenBank genome assembly.
GUUUUAUAACGUUUUAUUUGACGUAGGGAUGACGUAAUGCUGCUUCCCGCCUAUGACAAUUUGAAUUAGUCAUGUGAUACAAGAUUGCGAAAGCCGAUUCGCCCAGAACGAUGACACGCCCACGAAACGCCCACAAUGUUCCUACCCUCUUAUUUUCUCCUUAAUUUUGCUCGCUUGCAAUAACAAAUAACAAUAUUUUGCCAGGAGGGGCGGCAAUGCCGUGCAGCAUGUAGAUUGGGACGAGCAAACAUGGCGAUGGCAGACGAAGCAGAUAUGGAAUUUGUUUCGAAUAUUAAAGAACUAUUUAUGAAACAAAAUAAGAAGUUAUGAAUAUUCUGAUC